GAUCCUGGCUCAGAUUGAACGCUGGCGGCAUGCUUACACAUGCAAGUCGAACGGCAGCACGGGAGCAAUCCUGGUGGCGAGUGGCGAACGGCGAGUAAUAUAUCGGAACGUGCCCAGUCGUGGGGGAUAACGUAGCGAAAGCUACGCUAAUACCGCAUACGAUCUAUGGAUGAAAGCGGGGGAUCGCAAGACCUCGCGCGAUUGGAGCGGCCGAUAUCAGAUUAGCUAGUUGGUGGGGUAAAGGCUCACCAAGGCGACGAUCCUUAGCUGGUCUGAGAGGAUGAUCAGCCACACUGGGACUGAGACACGGCCCAGACUCCUACGGGAGGCAGCAGUGGGGAAUAUUGGACAAUGGGCGAAAGCCUGAUCCAGCAAUGCCGCGUGAGUGAUGAAGGCCUUCGGGUUGUAAAGCUCUUUUACUCGGGACGAUAAUGACGGUACCGAGAGAAUAAGCCCCGGCUAACUCCGUG
Molecule: ribosomal RNA, 470 nt
Filed under: uncultured bacterium
Lineage: Bacteria
Description: bacterial SSU rRNA
Rfam family: Bacterial small subunit ribosomal RNA
Source: RNAcentral